Long non-coding RNA from Gossypium arboreum, 503 nucleotides. RefSeq lists it as uncharacterized. Lineage: Eukaryota; Viridiplantae; Streptophyta; Magnoliopsida; Malvales; Malvaceae. The transcript is spliced from 2 exons. The record is from RefSeq and is a predicted model, not a curated record.
CUCCAAAGCCAUGUUAACCCACAUCUAAAUAUCGUUCAUUUCAACCUGAAAAACAACAUUGGAGUCACCUACACGGACGACGUCGUUGUCUUUGCCCCCCUCGUCCAUCACCUUAGUAGACAUUUGCAACUUUUGCACUAAAUCAGUUAAACCUGCAAUGCAAUCUACCAUGGCUGCCACUUCAUUGAGUCUCAAGCUAUGGAUUAAUUCUUGAUGCGGCUUGCGUUGCAGAAAAGGUUGUACUAAAAGGUAGAUUGUGGUGUGCAAGGCGGAGACUGGGUCGGACAGCGGCGGCGCAAGAAAAAUGAGAAGAAUGAAGGAGAAAGAAAAGGAAAGAAACAAGAAGAAAUAGAAGGAAAAAUAAUAAUAAGAAGAAGAUAACAAAUAUCGUGGGUCCCACUAUUUUAAAUAAAAUAUUUUAAAAUCCAUGUCAUCUGCUGUUAAUGUUUUAAUGAAACAAUGACUAAUAAAACAAAUUUGAAUAGUUUGAUGAUUAGAUUAAA